GAUGAACGCUGGCGGCGUGCUUAAUACAUGCAAGUCGAGCGAACAGACGCGGCGCUUGCUCCUCUCACGUUAGCGGCGGACGGGUGAGUAACAUGAGGAUAACCCACCUAUCAGACUGGUAUAACUUCGGGAAACGGGAGCUAAUACCGGAUAAUAUAUUGAACCACAUGGUUCAAUAGUGAAAGUCGGUUUUGCUGUCUCUUAUAGCUGGAUCCGCGCUGCAUUGGCUAGUUGGUAGGCUAACAGCUUAUCAAGGCAACGAUGCGUAGCCGACCGGUGAGACGGAUCGGCCGCCUGGGAGGUGAGACGCGGACCAUGCGCCUGCGGGAGGCAGCAGUAGGGAAUCUUCGGCAAUGGGCGGAAACCUUACGGAGCGACGCGGAGUGAGUGAUGGAGAUCUUCGGUGCGGAAAACCCUGUUAUGGGUGAAGAACAAAUGUGUAAGUAACUAUGCACUUCUUGACGGUACCGAAUCAAGAAGCCACGGCUAACUACGUG
Molecule: ribosomal RNA, 497 nt
Filed under: uncultured bacterium
Lineage: Bacteria
Description: partial 16S ribosomal RNA
Rfam family: Bacterial small subunit ribosomal RNA
Source: RNAcentral